AUACGUAGGGGGCAAGCGUUAUCCGGAUUUACUGGGUGUAAAGGGAGCGCAGACGGCUUAGCAAGUCUGAAGUGAAACCCCACGGCUCAACCGUGGGCUUGCUUUGGAAACUGUUAGGCUAGAGUACUGGAGAGGUAAGCGGAAUUCCUAGUGUAGCGGUGAAAUGCGUAGAUAUUAGGAGGAACAUCGGUGGCGAAGGCGGCUUACUGGACAGCAACUGACGUUGAGGCUCGAAGGCGUGGGGAGCAAACAGGAUUAGAUGCCCUGGUAGUCCACGCGGUAAACGAUGAAUACUAGGUGUUGGGUGUCAUAGACAUUCAGUGCCGUCGCUAACGCAAUAAGUAUUCCACCUGGGGAGUACGUUCGCAAGAAUGAAACUCAAAGGAAUUGACGGGG
Molecule: ribosomal RNA, 396 nt
Filed under: uncultured bacterium
Lineage: Bacteria
Description: partial 16S ribosomal RNA
Rfam family: Bacterial small subunit ribosomal RNA
Source: RNAcentral